CGAGCAGAUUAGCGGAGGACCACACGGCAGGCAAGAAAGCUGGAACUCGUGAGCAGGGAAUUGUCCACGGUCUCAAUUUGCUCUACGAGUGUGGUGAAAGGGAAAACGCUCAAACUCACAGCUGGAGGAAGAUUUCUGGGAGAGUGGUUCAGGCGAGGAUUGGGUGAGGAUCCAGAGCUUGCAAUGACGCUGGCAGAACCGACGUCUGCAGAGGAGGUGAGUUGGCGAGGUGAAGCUGACGAGAAGGGGGAUCUUGACAGAGCAGGAACAGGCUGAGUGCCACCCAGCCGCAGGCAGACGAAUAGCAGGAAACAGGCAGGCAGAGCUCGUAGUCAGGGACAGAAGGCUAAGGCGUGAAGCAAAGGUCAGGGGCAGAUCAGGUCGAUACUAGGUAAGCUGUCAGGGAAUGAAUGCUGGAGAGUUAAGCAUGAGAGCGACGACAAUCUGGCAAAGAGUGAGGGGAAAGAAGCUGCAUAUAUACUGGCCUGAUUGGAGAUGAUGAGCAGGUGAGAGCAGCAGGUGGAUGCAGUUAGCUGAUGAGGGGUGUGGCUGAGCAGCAGAGCAGGAGAGGCACAGGGCAGACUGUUACACAUUAUCAAUAAACUUAAAUAUCUCAAACUCUCAGUCACUGAAUUAAAGUUAUUUUAACUGUUAAUUUGAUUUAAAUUAGGAUUUUCUCACCACUGGCGUCUCUGAGGUCUCUUGCAGUGAUGCCACCAAACACUCUCUCUGCAACAAAGAGUGACACACCUGUCCCUGAGCCUCUUUAAAACCUCUGCCUAGCAUUCCCCACUCUACCUGCACUUGCUGUACUUUACCUGCCCUGCUGAGGCUCUUCAGUGGAAGGGACAAACCUGAAAAACAUAAAUCUAAACAGUCACAUAAAAAAUGUCAAAAGACUGUCCUGACAAAGACUAUGCUGAGAUGGUGCCCAAAGAGGAGUUGCACCAUGGUGACGGGAAAGUAUGGUACAUACCACACCACAGAGUCUACCAUCCCACUAAAAGAAAGAUCAGAGUUGUGUUUGAUUGUGGAGCAAGAUACCAAGGAACAUCACUCAAUUCUCAGCUGCUAAAGGGCCCCGAUCUUACCAGUUCUCUGAUUGGAGUGGUUACUCGGAUUAGGAAGGAACCAGUUGUGAUCAUGGCUGACAUAGAAGCCAUGUUCUGCCAUGUUCCACCAGGUCCAAGUCCCUCCUGAUGACAGAGACCUUCUCAGGUUCCUCUAGUGGCCUAAGGGUAAUAUGCAUCAGCCACCCAAGUAUUGGAUAAAGGUGCACUUGUUUGGGGCUACAUCAUCUCCCAGUUGUGUUCCUAAAGACUUUAAAAACAGGCACUGGACUGUGUAGAGUUGAGAAGAUGUUUCGCCUCUUAUCCAAGAAGCUUCUUCAGUUCUAAUUAUUGCUAGUGUGAGGAGCAGAUAUUUAUCCUACUGGAGAAAGGGACAGACAACAACUGGGAGGAGUUUGGAAUGAAUGGGUCAGAGAGACCCAUCUCCGGGUGUUCCCCCCUGAGGGUCGUUAACCUGAAAGGGUCGUUAACCUGAAAGGGUCGUUAACGACCCCUGUCAUGUGACCACAUGAAUCAUGCCAUCUGAGUCAUGUGGUCUCAGGUGUGAAUGUUUGUGGAGCUUCCUGGGGAGAGAGCUGAGAACUGCAUUGUAAGUGCCAGAGAGGUUGCGCCUGAGUCCACCCCCUCUGUUCAGAGAAGUCUUCUCAACUCUACACAGUCCAGUUGCCUGUUUUUUAAGUCAGGCCGUUCAUUAACUCCAGGCAACUGCAAAAUGCAUAAAAGCAUUUCCAAUAAGAAUAGAGACAUGCUUCAUAUUCAUUCAUUCCUGAGGAACUUGAACUUUCCAAUCAAAUAAAAUCAUUUCAUUGGUAUGCUUGCUAUGCCAACAGAAGGGUGCCAAAAAAUAUGGCAGUAUAGGUUGGUUAUUUGGAAAACCAUUAGAGAUAGAGUUCUAUAAUUGUGUUUCUUGGAUCACUUCACGUUAGGCUCAGUGGAGAUUCUCUGUAAGUCUGUGAUGCAAUGUGUGGCAGGCAGGCCGACCUGAGAGUCCAUUAUCACGGAGAGAGUCAUGACUGGUCUUUUGUUGGUGCUGGACAGACCAGCAGACUGCUUGUGGAGUGUAUGACUGCAGUUCAAAGUGUGAAUGACAAAGAGGAAAGUGAGUGAUGGAGGGGGGAGAGAGGAGCUGAAGAGGAUGAUUGAAAGCUCAACCUGAGAGUAAAGAACUAUGUCACAGUUAUAGUACUUGAGCCAAGAACCAAAAUUUCACAUAUCGGUACCACCUGGGUGGGCAAAUUCUAGUUGUGAUUUUUUUAUUGCUAUACAUCCCUACAAUAAGUUUUUAUAUGAUAGACCUUGGUAACUGGUAGCUUUAUUGUAGUUAUCACUCAUUGAAGUAAUAGAGUGCAGCUGUUCAAGAACGAAAAAUCGCCUUCCUUCAAAAUUAGCUUUCUUUCAUUUUAACCUCUCAUUUAGGUGUGUUUGAACUAUUGGCUAGCCAUAGAGACUUGUAAUAACCCCCUAAGUAGUAUUUCAAGCAAUUUUUUUAAUACAGGUGUGUAUAUAUAAGCUUCAAUUAGCCAAUUGUCAGGUCUAAAUCAAGGUCUAAAUUAAGGAUAUUUUUUGACUUAGAAGUAGAAGUAAAGUAAAUGCAGACUAAUAGCAUUAUAAUAAAAUAACCUUAAUAUGACACUGACAUAUUUUAAAUGCAGGCACUCAAUAUACAAUCAUCCUGGCUGGUGCAGGGCAAGAAGACAUUAGCAACAAAAUAAGAUCUACUGAUGUAUACACUCUAUACAAUCAUCUGAGAAAAACUCCAUUCCUCCACCAAGAACUUGAUGAGACUGGCUUUGUCGGCAGGGCUGCAGAGAAGUUUCCUCCACUGCUGAAUAUAUUGGCCAGAAACAAUGUUUCUGAACUGGAUCCCCAUGUCUGCACCUCUGUUUAGUCUUUCUGAAUUUUUGAUUGACAUGUCUUUAAAUUUAAACUUUAUUUCACUGAAAGCUGUUAAUUUACCAAAAGAUGUAAAGGCGGAUGAAGGUAGUGACAAUGGUUAAAAAAAGAACCAGGGUUAAGUAACGACAUCCAGGGUAAUAAAUCAAACGGAAAAGUUCAUUCUUUGAGGUUAAACAACCAACUUAAUACAAGCACUAGGCGGAGAAAAACACCAAUACAAUAAAAAUGACAGGCUAAGGUAAUGAAGGAAACAGCAAAUGCACUGCAGGCUCCACUGCCACCAUAGGCCUGCUCAGUCCAGCCACUACUGAACCACACCAUGAGUCACACAUUCUUCAACCAUUUCCACACAGGAGCGAUGACUGGAGGGAAUGUAAAGAGAGACCACAUUUACAUAUAGUACUUGAGCCAAGAACCAAAAUUUCACAUAUCGGUACCACCUGGGUGGGCAAAUUCUAGUUGUGAUUUUUUUAUUGCUAUACAUCCCUACAAUAAGUUUUUAUAUGAUAGACCUUGGUAACUGGUAGCUUUAUUGUAGUUAUCACUCAUUAUAAUCAUAAUACAGGUGUGUAUAUACACUCACCGGCCACUUUAUUAGGUACACCAUGCUAGUAACGGGUUGGACCCCCUUUUGCCUUCAGAACUGCCUCAAUUCUUCGUGGCAUAGAUUCAACAAGGUGCUGGAAGCAUUCCUCAGAGAGCUUGGUCCAUAUUGACAUGAUGGCAUCACACAGUUGCCGCAGAUUUGUCGGCUGCACAUCCAUGAUGCGAAUCUCCCGUUCCACCACAUCCCAAAGAUGCUCUAUUGGAUUGAGAUCUGGUGACUGUGGAGGCCAUUUGAGUACAGUGAACUCAUUGUCAUGUUCAAGAAACCAGUCUGAGAUGAUUCCAGCUUUAUGACAUGGCGCAUUAUCCUGCUGAAAGUAGCCAUCAGAAGUUGGGUACAUUGUGAUCAUAAAGGGAUGGACAUGGUCAGCAACAAUACUCAGGUAGGCUGUGGCGUUGCAACGAUGCUCAAUUGGUACCAAGGGGCCCAAAGAGUGCCAAGAAAAUAUUCCCCACACCAUGACACCACCACCACCAGCCUGAACCGUUGAUACAAGGCAGGAUGGAUCCAUGCUUUCAUGUUGUUGACGCCAAAUUCUGACCCUACCAUCCGAAUGUCGCAGCAGAAAUCGAGACUCAUCAGACCAGGCAACGUUUUUCCAAUCUUCUAUUGUCCAAUUUCGAUGAGCUUGUGCAAAUUGUAGCCUCAGUUUCCUGUUCUUAGCUGAAAGGAGUGGCACCCGGUGUGGUCUUCUGCUGCUGUAGCCCAUCUGCCUCAAAGUUAGACGUACUGUGCAUUCAGAGAUGCUCUUCUGCCUACCUUGGUUAUAACGGGUGGUUAUUUGAGUCACUAGCCACGUUUACAUGCAGACUUUUUUCUCAUUCGGAUUAUAAUCAUUCCGAUUGAAGCUCCCAGGCGAACUGUUUACAUGGAAGUGAUCUAUUCUGAUCUGGUGUUUACAUGUGCCACGGCAUUCAAUCGGAACAGCUAUUUACAGACACGUGAUACCUUCAAACAUCACGUGAUUGAUUGAUCACGUGAUCUCCGACGCAGACCAGUGCAUCGCGCUCUGCUUGGAAGCCGCCAUCAUGUUUCCAUGUGAGUCAUACGUCACUGCUUGUUCACAUCAGGACAGAGCAUGCGCAGACAGAACCCAGCCUGACAACUUUCCGAUUCACCGUUUACAUGACAGGAUUUUGCUUUUAAUUGGAAUGGGAAAAGGAAAAUUCUACCCCUGUGAAUCGGAAUGAAAUUCCAUUCGGAAUGGGCCUGUUUAUUCUGAAUGAGGUGUUUAUAUGGAGCAUUUUCAUUCCGAUUGGGCUUCUAAUCCGAUUAUAUUCGGAAUAUUUGGCUCCAUGUAAACGUAGCUACUGUUGCCUUUCUAUCAGCUCGAACCAGUCUGGCCAUUCUCCUCUGACCUCUGGCAUCAACAAGGCAUUUCCGCCCACAGAACUGCCGCUCACUGGAUAUUUUUUCUUUUUCGGACCAUUCUCUGUAAACCCUAGAGAUGGUUGUGCGUGAAAAUCCCAGUAGAUCAGCAGUUUCUGAAAUACUCAGACCAGCCCUUCUGGCACCAACAACCAUGCCACGUUCAAAGUCACUCAUAUCACCUUUCUUCCCCAUACUGAUGCUCGGUUUGAACUGCAGGAGAUUGUCUUGACCAUGUCUACAUGCCUAAAUGCACUAAGUUGCCGCCAUGUGAUUGGCUGAUUAGAAAUUAAGUGUUAACGAGCAGUUGGACAGGUGUACCUAAUAAAGUGGCCGGUGAGUGUAUAAUGAGUGCCUGCAUUUAAAAUAUGUCAGUAUCAUAUUAAGGUUGUUUUAUUAUAAUGCUAUUAGUCUGCAUUUACUUUACUUCUACUUCUAAGUCAAAAAAUAAACUUAAUUUAGACCUUGAUUUAGACUUGACAAUUGGCUAAUUGAAGCUUAUAUAUACACACCUGUAUUAAAAAAAAUGCUUGAAAUACUACUUAGGGGGUUAUUACAAGUCUCUAUGGCUAGCCAAUAGUUCAAACACACCUAAAUGAGAGGUUAAAAUGAAAGAAAGCUAAUUUUGAAGGAAGGCGAUUUUUCGUUUUUGAACAGCUGCACUCUAUUACUUUAAUGAGUGAUAACUACAAUAAAGCUACCAGUUACCAAGGUCUAUCAUAUAAAAACUUAUUGUAGGGAUGUAUAGCAAUAAAAAAAUCACAACUAGAAUUUGCCCAUCCAGGUGGUACCAAUAUGUGAAAUUUUGGUUCUUGGCUCAAGUGCUAUGAUACCUGAAAGAACUGCUCCACCAUCAAAUUGGGCCACUCCCACUUCAUCAACUCAUUUAAUUAGACACAGGUUUGAUUCAUUUAUAGAAAAGAGCAGUGUGACCCAAAAAGAGUAUGACUUUUAAUGUGCUUUUGACUUUCUGUGUUGCUUUUGGAGUUAACAAAAAUUCGCCUAUUGAGGAAAAUAACAAAAUGAGAAAAAAUAUAAAAAACUACCCCUAUGAAAAGUCUAUCAUAUUUUAAUUUACUUAUAUUGACCCUAAAAACAAUUUAGUAUAUGUAAGGUUUUGCCCACUCAAGUGGUACCGACAUCUGUUCCGGCUCAAGGACUAUUAAUGGUUCUCACAUACGCACGCACGCACGCACGCACGCACGCACGCACACACACACACACAAACAAACAAAAUACUUUAUCACUAAUAGUGCUCCUUACACUAUUUUUGAUCUAUUAUUCCUUUAACAGGUUAAUUAAAUGUAAUUAUAUUAAGAAAGGAACUCAAUUUUGUUAAAAGGCCCCUUUUUAACAUCAACCUUUGUCAUUUUGGGCUCUUAAUUUCUACUUUCUGCACACACACUUUGAGACAGAGCUGACUGGCAUGGGGGUUGGGGCUGUGUGUGUGUGUGUGUGUGUGUGUGUGUGUGUGUGUGCAGAGCGUUUUAGUGCAUGGGGGGAAGGGGUGAGUGUAGGUUGUCCUGGCAUGCUGCCAGUCCCUUGGUUUCUUGAUACCACUGUGUGUGUGUCUGUUUGUGUCUAUUUCUCUGUGUGCGUGUGCGUUUUAGUGCCCAAUGGGGGUCUGCCAGCAUGACAGGCGUCACCAAGGCAACAACAGAGCAGGUUCCAGAUGCAAUGCAUCAUAUUUCUACAGAAAGACACACACACACACACACACACACAAAAUGAGAAAAAAACCUUUGGUUAGUCAUGCUGAUAAAUUUGAUUAUGAUGGACUGGGUCUCAUUUAAAUAUUCAUUUUCCCUGAAAUUCUCUUUCACACUCUGAUAACUUAUUGGCUGCCUCGAUCAAGGAUUACAAUUUGCCAAAAUUUGAAUUAGCUUGAAAAUUGGUUGUUUCCUUUAUUCUUUCAUAUGUAUUUUUCACUGUUAUAAAGCUGAUCUUUGAUCCUUGAAGUGAUUUGUAUUUGAUUGACUGAGACUGAUAGGUCCUGUCUCUUAUCUGGAGGGAAUCAGUGCAGUGCCUGAGAACACAUCACCGGAUGGUUUCAUGCACCCAUAAACGCCGGCGGCGUCUACUGAGGAUGUACAGAUAUGCGGCAGCACAGAUGAACUGAAAACUGAGCUAGUGACGUUCUCAUGGAUGACGUCACCGGCGACCAGCCGCGACCUGCGACUGCAGCUUUGGACCCGUUGUGAACACACCAGAGCACCACGCGACGCGACAUGACCGACCAACGCGACGCGACGCGACGUGACGUGACGUGACGUGACGUGACGUGACGUGACGUGACGCGACGCGACCUGGUCGCGUUUGGUCUGAAGGGCCCCUUUAAAGGGGCGUUCAGACCAAACGCGACGCGACCUGGUCGCGUCGCUUUGGUCGGUCACGUCGUGUCGCGGGGUGCUCUGGUGUGUUCACACCGGGUCCAAAGCUGCAGUCGCAGGUCGCGGCUGGUCGCCGGUGACGUCAUCCAUGAGAACGUCACUAGCUCAGUUUUCAGUUCAUCGUCCUCGGUGCUGCCGCAUAUCUGUACAUCCGCAGUAGACGCCGCCGGCGUUUAUGGGUGCAUGAAACCAUCCGGAGAAGGACGGAGCUAGGUGAAUUUCACCGCUUGCUCCAGGAACUCCGCCUGGACGACGGCCGCUUCCAGCGGUAUUUCCGUGUGUCGACGGCGCAGUUCGAGGACCUCCUCGCCCGGGUGGGAAGCAGCAUCUCCCGCCUGGACACGAAAUACAGGCGCUCCAUCUCAGCUUCGGAACGCCUGUCUAUCUGUCUGUCCCUCAUAUAAACGUCCCUAAGCCCCUUCCACCGCUUGCGGCACACAUCCACUGCAAAGACACACACACAUAUGUUGAAACAUGUAGCCUAGCAAGCAGGGGCAGUUAGCUAUGUUUUCAUAAAACAGUCCGCUCACUGAAAUAAAUAAAUAAACCAACAAGCUUACCAAAAAGCCCGACAUCACGGGCCACCUUCCCCCAUGCUUCUUCUUUGGCGUUGUGGUCCCGGUACAGCCCGCAACCCACGUUGUAUAGCACCGGGUGGUAGCUAACGGAUGUGAUUAACUGCUCCUCCAUUGUGAUUCUUCUUCUCCUCUUCCUUGUUUCGCCGGUUUGUUGACGUCAGCAGAGCCCUGAUUGGCUGUCGCGGCACGGGGUCGCGGAAAGUCGCUCCCAAAGUUCAAAUAUUUGAACUUUGGGAGCGACGCGACUUGGCAUCCUGCGACCUCGGCGACGCGACUUGGCGACCUGGUCACCAAGUCGCUUCAGGUCGCGUCACAGGCAGCCGGCGGUCGCCAAGUCGUGUCAGGUCGCAGCUGUCCAUAGACUUUGCAUUGGGAGCCGUCGCCGAGGUCGCGUUCAGACAGACCAAACGCGACGCGUUGGUCGGUGACGUCGCGUCGCGUGGUACUCUGGUGUGUUCAAAGCAGGUCCAAAGCUGCAGUCGGAGGUCGCGGCUGGUCGCCGGUGACGUCAUCCAUGAGAACGUCACUAGCUCAGUUUUCAGUUCAUCUGUGCUGCCGCAUAUCUGUACAUCCGCAGUAGACGCCGCCGGCGUUUAUGGGUGCAUGAAACCAUCCGGAGGAGGACGGAGCUGGGUGAAUUUCACCGCUUGCUCCAGGAACUCCGCCUGGACGACGGGCGCUUCCAGCGGUAUUUCUGUGUGUCGACGGCGCAGUUCGAGGACCUCCUCGCCCGGGUGGGAAGCAGCACCUUCCGCCAGGACACGAAAUACAGGCGCUCCAUCUCAGCUUCGGAGCGCCUGUCUAUCUGUCUGUCCCUCAUAUAAACGUCCCUAAGCCCCUUCCACCGCUUGCGGCACACAUCCACUGCAAAGACACACACACAUACGUUGAAACAUGUAGCCUAGGCAAGCAGGGGCAGUUAGCUAUGUUUUCAUAAAACAGUCCGCUCACAGAAAUAAAUACACAAACAAACUUACCAGAAAGCCCGACGUCAUGGGCCACCUUCGCCAAUGCCUCCUCCAUGGAGGUGCGGUCCCGGUAAAAUGCGCACCCCACGUCGUACAGGACCGGGUGAUAACUCACGGCAGUGAUUAACUGCUCCUCCAUUGUGAUUCUUCUUCUCCUCUUCCUUGUUUCGCCGGUUUGUUGAUGUCAGCAGAGCCCUGAUUGGCUGUCGCGGCACGGAGUCGCGGAUAGUCGCUCCCAAAGUUCAAAUAUUUGAACUUUGGGAGUGACGCGACUUGGCGUCCUGCGACCUCGGCGACGCGACUUGGCGACCUGUUCGGCAAGUCGCUUCAGGUUGCGUCACAGGCAGCCGGCGGUCGCCAAGUCGCGUCAGGUCACGGCUUUCCAUAGACUUUGCAUUGGGAGCCGUCGCUGAAGUCGCGUUUGGUCUGAACACCCCUUAAUACUGUUUAUCCUCCCAAAUUUUUAAGAUGGUUUGCCAGUAGAGGUGUCAAUCAUGCCAAUCCUGUUUGCAGCAUCAAAGUUAAGGUUGCGGGUGCUGCCCGCACAAAAAAAAAAAACAAUUAGGCUACUGGACACAGGUCCUAAACGUAUACCCUUUUAACAGCAUCAAAUAACCAAAUACCACUAUACUGUUCAGAAAAAUAAACAACAGCAAAAAGUUGUUAUAAUGAAGAAUAACCAUAAUAAGAUGAAUCAUGUUUGAGAAAAAUUACGACACAUAUUUUAGGAUUGAAGUUAAAUCCAUGUCUCAUCUGUUAGCUUUCUGACAUAUAUGACAGCCAACCCAUGGGAAUAUAAAGGCAAUAUAUCAGUCAUUAGUUGUAUUUUGUUUAUAUUUUAAACCACUGCAACAGUUCAAAAUAGAAUUGGGAGGAGUUAGUAGGUAUAAAAUUUUGCUAACUGAUAACACGUCACAUCAAAAUAAUCUGCAAUAAGAAGCCUUGCACAGCUCAUCCUCGCUUGUUGACACUGUAGCAAAAACAUUACCUCCUCUCUGUUUAUGAGCAUGUGACAUAUAAAAGACUACUACUAACCCUUUGGGAGCUACUGAGCCCAAACUAUCUCUGAUAUGGAGUUAUAGAGUGAGACUUUGUCCUGCACUCCAGGGAAUGGCAGCAAACCUGAUGAAUGCAUUUCUGUGUUGCCAAAUGCUACAAAGCAUUUAAAAUAGCAAUGGUGUUUGAUGUUGUCACAGUUGCAUCAUUUAUGUUAAAGCUCUGCAUUUAUAAAAUAGACUAAAAUUAACAUUGCUGUAUUUUUUUUUUUUCAGUUUUUUUUUUUCCUUUUUUAAUGGACAGGACAGAGAGGAAACGCGGGAGAUAAAGAAAGGGGAUGACAUGCAGCACUUGGUUGGACUUGAGCCAGUAACCACUACGGGAACCAUGGUCCCCAAACGUAGGACAUACUAACCCACUAGGCGAUCUGCACGUCCCAUUGGUGUCUUUCUAUAUGAAAUCUAAAAGGCAACAUCAGCAACAAUAUUGAUGAUUUUUAUAUUGUACUUUUUAAUAAACUAAUGUCAGGGGGAAGGUGUCAGCCAAGCAACUGAGGACACAACACAGUUGUAUGAAAUAUUCAAAAUAGAUUAUACAUGUGAUGAUCAAAAGUCAGGAAGAUGAUAUUUUUUUGUCAGAAGAUGCUACUUAAAAGUGAAUGGCCUGUAAAUCCUUCUUUAUUUGAUGGAAUGCAGCUGAGAUUUGUUUAGGACACACGUGAUGGGGUACCAGACAGGCACAAAAAUCAGCUCCAAGUUUCAAUUAACUGCGCCCACGUGGCACUAUAAAAUGUCCAAAAAAAUAGCAUACUGUGACAAUGUGAUAGAUAUGCACAGCCACAUGAAAUUUGGUACACAGAUCAGGAGGGGUGUCCUCUUCAGGGCUCCAAUGUCAAAAUGGAGAUCCAACGGAAAAUGGCUCCACAGUGCCCCCUACAAGAUUUCAAAAAUUCAGCCCGCCACUGUGACCCACAGCCAUGGAACCGGGGCUGCUUAUAAAGAACCCCAAGAUGAACAAAAAGCCUCUUGCACCCAUAGGCCACGCCCAACCGGAAGUUGGCCAUAUUGGUUUGAAAAUAUGCGGUUUGAAGUUUUCUCCCACUUACAAAGCUCUUUUCAAAAAGUAUACCCUCUUAGGGAUUUAUAAAUAGAAAGCCAAAACUGCAGCCAGAGGUACCCACAAUAGUGUAAGACUGAUAUAGAACUUUUUGCGAUGAGGCUUAGUCUGGGAACAGCUUCCCCUUAAAGACAAGUAGGGCUUUUUGCAAGCGAGUUUCAACAACACAUCAAUAUGAAUUUCAGGCCAUUUCAUAAAUCCCCUAAUAGGAGCUUUAAACAGGAAGGAGAUGAGUUGAACAAAGACCGCUUUGUCCAUUGGGAGUGCCAAAAUUGUUACAAAGUAAAAAGUUUGUCAUAGGAGCUUAAAGAUGUUCCUGCAAAGUCCCAAGAAAAAUUAGCACUCAGUGAGGACUGAAAUUUCAUUACCAAUAUUCCAGCAGAUGUCUCAUUCACUCUGUUUAAAGAUGCCUUCAAUGAAAAUGGUACAUUUAAGUAGAAUUAUGAGAAAUAAACAGACUUAUGCUUGAACAGUGAAUUGAAAUGUUUAUUUCAUUAGUAAUAGAAUAGAAUAGAAUAGAAUAUUCCUUUAUUGAUCCCCCAUGGGGGAAAUUUUUUUGUCACAGCAGCAUCACAGACAAGACAGAAAGUGCAAAAUGCAGUUAUAACAAUAAGGGUCCUAAUAUUAAGAACUUAAUAAAUGUAAUAAUUAAGAGAAAAAAAAAAUUGAAAAAGAGAAAAGGGAGAAGAAAAAAUAAAGCUUUCUGCAAUAUACACAAUUUAAAUGCCAUAAAAAAAGUGGUGGUGUAAAUCCAGUUUUGUUACUGUUCAUUGUAAAGUCUUAUUGCAGAGGGGAGGAAUGAUCUGCGGUAGCGCUCCGUCCUGCAGGGUGGGAGUCUCAGUCUGCUGCUGAAGGAGCUGCCUAAAGCCCCCACAGUCUGGUGCAGUGGGUGAGAGGGAUUGUCCAUGAUGGAUAUAAGCUUUGUUAACAUCCUCCUCUCACCCACCUCCUCCAGGGAGUUCAAAGAACAGUCUAGGACAGAACUGGCCCUCCUGACCAGUCUGUUCAGUCUCUCCCUGUCCCUCUUGGUGCUCCCUGCCCCCCAGCAGACCACUGCAUAGAAAAGUGCAGAUGCUACCACAGAGUCAUAGAAAGUCCUGAGCAGAGUCCUGCACACUCCAAAGGACCUCAGUCUCCUCAGCAGGUGGAGACGACUUUGGCCCUUCUUGUACAGAACGUCUGUGUUUGUUGACCAGUCCAGUUUGUUGUUGAGGUGGACACCCAGGAAUCUGUAGGACUCCACCAUCUCGAUGUCCAGACCCUGUAUGUUCACUGGAACUGUUUGAGGUGUCCCCCUCCUGCGGAAAUCCACAACCAUAAUUCAGACUAUAUGACAGCCUCUCAUUGGAUUCUUGCUCACCAUGUUGGGAUGACCACCUACUCUCAUAUAACCUUUACCUGUUCUUAUUUUCUCUACAGUAACACCAAUCUACACACUCCCAGGUGCUCAAAGUAAAGACCACCCAGUGUGUGUGUGACAGAAGUUUUGUGUAAAACAAAAAGCAAGAUAUAAAGGUCUGUACCAUUAAGUGUAUCCAUAGAAAUCCAUUUAUGCAAGACUGUGUGCAGAGUGUGUAGAGUUUCCAUUUGCAUAACUUAUUUAUAACAGCAUAGUGUUACAGGCAGCCUGAACACAGACAUUUUCACAGCAGAAUCCCUCUCCCUGACCCACUUCUGUCUAAAACAAAUUGCUACUAAGACCUAGUCUACAUCUAACCCUUCGCAAUAGUUGCCUAUGAACUGUGAGAGCAACGGCCAGUGUAUAUUACUUUACUUUGCAUCUUCUCAAGUGAACUUAACAAUAUGGAGACCUAUAAAUGGAUCAACACUCCCUUGGUCUGAGUGCAGACCAACCAAAGAAAAUAAGGAGUGGGUGGUGUUGUAACUCUUCAGUUUCAGGUCUAUUAGAGAGCUGUGUUUAUUUAUAAUGCCAGCUCUGUUUCCUUGUUACUGCCUCAGUCUUCAGAUCCAGGCCAAAAGUUUGUGUAAGCCAAAAAGGAUCAAUAUUAUAUCAAAGAAGUCUUGUUGGUAGAGUAACAAUCCUACAGAUCAAAAUCCUGAGCAGAACCUGCAUGUAUUUGUCAUUCUAUCCUUAGGCUUUAUAAAAUAAAAACCUAGUCUCUAUUAUGUCAUAAAUUAGUUUCUGAAGUGGAGUUUUAAAGCAUUUCGACAGCAGUGGCCACACUGAAAACACCCACUAAACCUAAUGCCAAACUUGUACUUGUUAUUUUGGUGGAAGCAAAACUAAUACUCUGAAUCAUUUGAAAGACAAAUAUGGUACUUUUGUGUGGUGAGACGCCUCCUCCUUUUGUUUUAUUUUGGCUGGACUUCCUGUGUUUCCGUGUUUGCCUGGUCUGGCUUUACUUUCUUCCAGAGCUUCCUCCCCUCCCCUGGUUGCUGAGGCUGAGUGAGACUACACACCUGCUCUUCAUCUACAAUCAAGGCACUUUAAGAAGCCAGCAGCCCUCAGUCUCAGCACCUGAGUAUUGUCUUCACUUCCAAGUGGUAUAGACGUGUCUCCUGGCCUCCUUCCUUUGAAAUUAGUAUUCGUAAUUCUGCUCCAGAUUCAUUGUAUGUUCACUCACUUCCCUCUCCUCUUUUUUUCCUGCAGUGUCUCCAGCCCACACGACAGUCAGCCAACGAGCCUACCGGACUUCCUCUUUCUUGCCUUUAAACCUGAGUUUGGACAUUAAAAUUACACCUAAAGUUGAUCUCUGUCUCUGUGUCUCUGUGUCUGCUUCUGGGUCCUCACAACUCACCAGUCACGCCACAGAAUACUCAGGCCAGGAUAAUGGACCCAGCAAACCCGGAUAGGUUUCAGCAAGCUGUCCAGAAGUGGGUGGGGGGAACUAGAAUUAAAGGGGAUAUUCACUCGUGGUCUGUCCGAACAGCUUAAAGACGAGCUUGCAGCUCGGGAUGAGCCCUCCUCCCUUGAGGAGCUAAUCACAUUAGCCAUUAGGAUGGACAAUCGCCUCAGGGAGAGACGGAGGGAGAAGAAAGCACAUUCCCCUGCACAUAGCAUAGACUCCCCAUCCUCUGUUGCGGUCAGCGGGUCUCCUCUGCAGCCCUCAGUCUUUCCGGAUCCGGCGCCCUCUGCCGAGGAACCCAUGCAAAUUGGCCGCACCAAAUUACAUCCCGAUGAACAGAGACGAAGGAUAGAGCAGAAGCUCUGUGUGUAUUGUGGCCAGGCCAGCCACUUUCUGCCCAACUGUCCUAAUAAGUUAAACGGCCAGGCUCAUCAGUGACAGAGGGCACCCUGAUGAGCCACACCUCCUCUGUUCCUAGCUCUCCUAGACGCAUCUCGGUACCUGCUUGUCUCCUGUGGGGAAAAGAAUCCACUUCCCUCCAAACCCUCAUUGACUCUGGGGUGGAUGACAAAUUCAUUCACGCCGGACUGGCAGUGCGGCUUCAGCUCCCCCUGGAGGUACUCCCAGUUCCCCGUAAGGUCACCGCUCUCGAUGGCAGGGUUAUAGCCACCAUAACCCACUGCACUGCUCCUCUCACCCUCAUCCUGUCGGGAAACCAUCGGGAGGACACCCGGUUGUUCCUGCUUCCCUCUCCACACUCACCCCUGGUGCUGGGACUCCCUUGGCUGCAGAUCCACAACCCCCAAAUGAACUGGUCCACAUCUUCGAUCUACGCUUGGAGUCCUCACUGUCACUCCCACUGCCUCCGCUCCGCCAAUCCCUACAUCCACUUACAGAGGCCAGCAUCUCCACCGCCAUCUCUCACCUCGGUUCCCCCCCAUUUACCAUGAUCUGGCCAUGGUGUUCAGUAAGGAGCAGUCUCUCGUCCUUCCUCCUCAUCGCCCAUAUGACUGCGCCAUAGAUUUGCUCCCUGACGCCCCUCUCCCCAGUAGCAGACUGUAUCUCUCGGCCCGAACGAGAGGCCAUGGAGGAAUACAUCCAGGACUCCUUGACAUCUGGACUCAUCCGGCCCUCAACCUCUCCCCUUGCCGCUGGUUUCUUCUUUGUGAAGAAAAAAGAUUCCUCUCUCCAUCCCUGCAUCGACUUUCGCGGACUCAAUGAGACCACCAUAAAAAACAAAUAUCCCCUGCCACUCAUCGAUCCCUCCUUUGAACCUCUCUGCAAGGCCACCAUCUUUUCCAAACUGGACCUCCGGAAUGCCUAUCACCUGGUUCACAUCAGGGAGGGGGACGAGUGGAAGACGGCCUUCAAUACACCCAUGGGCCACUUCGAGUACCUCGUCAUGCCCUUUGGCCUCACCAAUGCCCACGUUGUGUUCCAGGCUCUCAUUAAUGACAUCCUCUGUGACAUGAACAACCAAUUCGCCUUCGUCUAUCUGGACGAUAUCCUGAUCAUCUCCCGCCACCUGGAAGAACACCAGCAGCACGUUCGACUCGUCCUCCAGCGCCUCCUCGAAAACCGCCUUUUCGUCAAACCCGAGAAGGGAAAGUUCCACGCCUCCUCCGUCAGUUUCCUUGGAUACAUCAUCGCCCAGGGGGAGCUACGCCCAGACCCAGAGAAAGUCUGUGCCGUCCGUGACUGGCCCACUCCCUCCUCCUGCAAAGACCUCCAGUGAUUCCUCGGCUUCGCCAACUUCUACCGGCGCUUCAUCAGAAACUACAGCAAGGUGGCUGUGCCCCUUACCCGUCUCACAUCCCUCAAGGUCCCGUUCUCCUGGACCCCCGAAGCAGACGCCACCUUCUGUCAGCUCAAGUCCCUCUUCAUCUCCGCCCUGGUGCUCAAACACCCGGAUCCCUCUCUUCAGUUCGUGGUGUAGGUCGAUGCUUCGGACUCUGGAGUGGGGGCCGUCCUCUCACAGAAGGAUUCUGAGACCCGGAAGCUCCAUCCUUGCGCCUACUUCUCCUGGAAACUCUCACCCACUGAACGAAACUACGACGUGGGAAACCGUGAGUUGCUGGCUGUCGUGUGGGCACUACAAGAAUGGAGACACUGGCUGGAAGGAGCACAACAACCUUUUCUCAUCUGGACUGACCACAAGAACCUGCAAUACCUCCGCUCCGCUCGACGCCUCAACUCCAGGCAAGCCCGCUGGUCCCUCUUCCUCAGUAGAUUCAGCUUCACCCUCUCCUAUCGUCCAGGCUCCCGCAAUCUCAAACCAGACACCCUAUCUCGGAUCCAUUCCUCGGCUACCUUGGACCCCAGCGAACCAGACACCAUCCUCCCUGCCUCCUGUGUCGUCGGCUCCGCCUCUUGGGAGAUCGACACCAUCGUGGACCAGGCCCUCCGGAACCACCCAGACCCGGGAACUGGCCCGCCUGACAGAAAAUUUGUCCCUGAGGUUGCACGUUCCCAGGUCCUACAGUGGGAGCACUCCUCCAAACUCACCUGUCACCCCGGGUUUCAACGCACCCUCCAAUUCCUCCAGCAGCAGUUCUGGUGGCCGGGAAUGGUCCGGGACGUACGGGCGUUUGUUGCUGCCUGCUCCGUCUGUGCCCGAGGCAAAGUCUCCCACCAACCUCCGGCUGGCUUGCUGCGUCCCCUUCCUGUGCUCUCACGCCCCUGGUCUCACAUAGCCCUAGAUAUCGUCACUGGUCUCCCUCCUUCUGAAGGUAACACAGUCAUACUCACCAUGAUUGACAGAUUUUCCAAAUUUGUGCAUUAUGUCCCGUUACCCAAGCUCCCGUCUGCUUUAGAAACUGCUAACCUCCUGGUAUCUCAUGUGUUCCAACUACAUGGUAUCCCCCUUGACAUAGUGUCAGAUCGUGGUCCCCAGUUCUCCUGUCAGGUCUGGAAAGCUUUCUGCCAGGCAGUGGGCGCAGCAGCUAGCCUCUCCUCGGGUUACCACCCGCAGACCAACGGCCAGACGGAGUGGGCCAAUCAAAACCUUAAGUCGGCCCUGUGGUGUGUGGCGGCCCAUCAUCCAGCGUCCUGGAGUACGCACCUCCCAUGGAUCCAAUACGCCCAUAACUCCCUCACCUCUUCGGCCACAGGUAUGUCUCCCUUCAUGUGCUGUUUUGGUUACCAGCCCCCCCUGUUUCCCGAACAGGAGCACCCGGUGGCCGUCUCGUCAGUGAGGGAGCACAUUGGGCAUCUACGGGAGGUGUGGAGAUCCGCCAGGGCCGCACUCACCCGCACGGCCGAGCGCAACAAACGCCUGGCUGUUGUUACCGCUCUCCAGCACCAGACUAUCGUCCCAGUCAGAUGGUCUGGUUAUCGUCCCGUGACCUUCCCCUGCAGACAGAGUCCCGCAAGCUGUCCCCCGGCUUCAUUGGUCCCUUUCCUAUCCAGAAAAUCAUCAACCCUUCAGUGGUAAGAAUAAAAAUUCCUUCAACCCUCAAAAUUCACCCCACAUUUCAUGUCUCCCUGAUAAAGCCUGUCACCUCAUCAGGCAUGAAAAUGGGUCAGGGGUUGAAAAGGUGAGAAG
RNAcentral lists this long non-coding RNA (17340 nucleotides) under Xyrichtys novacula (pearly razorfish). Lineage: Eukaryota; Metazoa; Chordata; Actinopteri; Labriformes; Labridae. The record is from RNAcentral.